CCAGACUCCUACGGGAGGCAGCAGUGGGGAAUAUUGCACAAUGGGGGAAACCCUGAUGCAGCGACGCCGCGUGAGUGAAGAAGUAUUUCGGAAUGUAAAGCUCUAUCAGCAGGGAAGAAAUACUGACCAUAGGGUCAGCAGACGGUACUUGACUAAGAAGCCCGGGCUAACUACGUGCCAGCAGCCGCGGUAAUACGUAGGGGGCAAGCGUUAUCCGGAUUUACUGGGUGUAAAGGGAGCGUAGACGGCAGCGCAAGUCUGGAGUGAAAGCCCGGGGCCCAACCCCGGGACUGCUCUGGAAACUGCGUCGCUGGAGUACGGGAGGGGCAGGCGGAAUUCCUGGUGUAGCGGUGAAAUGCGUAGAUAUCAGGAGGAACGCCGGCGGCGAGGGCGGCCUGCUGGACCGUGACUGACGUUGAGGCUCGAGAGCGUGGCGAGCAAACAGGAUUAGAUCCCCCAGUA
This 462-nucleotide ribosomal RNA is filed under the name uncultured bacterium. Its description in RNAcentral is "bacterial SSU rRNA". It matches the Rfam family "Bacterial small subunit ribosomal RNA", at positions 331 to 792 of the family's 1533-position model. The record is from RNAcentral.